RNAcentral lists this ribosomal RNA (752 nucleotides) under uncultured bacterium. RNAcentral describes it as "bacterial SSU rRNA". It matches the Rfam family "Bacterial small subunit ribosomal RNA", at positions 50 to 758 of the family's 1533-position model. The record is from RNAcentral.
AACACAUGCAAGUCGAACGGUCCUGUCCAUAUAGAUCCCUUCGGGGUGAAAGUAUGGCGUGGAUAGUGGCGGACGGGUGAGUAACGCGUGGGUAACCUGCCCUUAUGACCGGGACAACAGUUGGAAACGACUGCUAAUACCGGAUACUAUGAUUGGAAGGCAUCUUCUGAUCAUUAAACGGAGGCCUCUGAUUCAAGCUCCCGCAUAAGGAUGGACCCGCGUCUGAUUAGCUAGUUGGUAGGGUAAAGGCCUACCAAGGCGACGAUCAGUAGCCGGCCUGAGAGGGUGGCCGGCCACACUGGGACUGAGACACGGCCCAGACUCCUACGGGAGGCAGCAGUGGGGAAUCUUCCGCAAUGGGCGCAAGCCUGACGGAGCAACGCCGCGUGAGUGAAGAAGGCCUUCGGGUCGUAAAGCUCUGUCUUUAGGGAAGAAUAGCUAUAUUGCAAAUAGUGAUAUAGUCUGACGGUACCUGAGGAGGAAGCUCCGGCUAACUACGUGCCAGCAGCCGCGGUAAUACGUAGGGAGCAAGCGUUGUCCGGAAUUACUGGGCGUAAAGGGCGCGUAGGCGGGGAUUUAAGUUAGGUGUGAAAUUCAGGGGCUCAACCCCUGGCCUGCACUUAAAACUGGAUCUCUUGAGGGCAUGAGAGGAAAGUGGAAUUCCUAGUGUAGCGGUGAAAUGCGUAGAUAUUAGGAGGAACAUCAGUGGCGAAGGCGACUUUCUGGCAUGUACCUGACGCUGAGGCGCGAAA